This 301-nucleotide ribosomal RNA is filed under the name uncultured bacterium. RNAcentral describes it as "partial 16S ribosomal RNA". It matches the Rfam family "Bacterial small subunit ribosomal RNA", at positions 509 to 807 of the family's 1533-position model. The record is from RNAcentral.
CAGUAGCCACGGUAAUACGGAGGGUGCAAGCGUUAAUCGGAAUUACUGGGCGUAAAGCGUGCGUAGGCGGUUCGUUAAGUCUGUUGUGAAAGCCCCGGGCUCAACCUGGGAAUGGCAAUGGAUACUGGCGAGCUAGAGUGUGUCAGGGGAUGGUGGAAUUCCCGGUGUAGCGGUGAAAUGCGUAGAGAUCGGGAGGAACAUCAGUGGCGAAGGCGGCCAUCUGGGACAACACUGACGCUGAGGCACGAAAGCGUGGGGAGCAAACAGGACUAGAUACCCCCGUAGUCCCUGUCUCUUAUAC